UAAGUCCUACGGGACGCAGCAGUGGGGAAUAUUGGGCAAUGGAGGCAACUCUGACCCAGCAAUGCCGCGUGAGUGAUGAAGGUAAUUUUAUUGUAAAGCUCUUUUCUUUGGAACGAAUAAAUGACGGUACCAAAGGAGUAAGCCCCGGCUAACUACGUGCCAGCAGCCGCGGUAAUACGUAGGGGGCAAGCGUUGUUCGGAAUGACUGGGCGUAAAGGGUGUGUAGGAGGUUUGAUAAGUUAGAUGUGUAAUACCCAGGACUUAACUCGGGUGCUGCAUCUAAAACUGUUAGACUUGAGUACUGG
This 305-nucleotide ribosomal RNA is filed under the name uncultured bacterium. RNAcentral describes it as "bacterial SSU rRNA". It matches the Rfam family "Bacterial small subunit ribosomal RNA", at positions 333 to 652 of the family's 1533-position model. The record is from RNAcentral.